UACGGAGGGGGCUAGCGUUAUUCGGAAUUAUUGGGCGUAAAGGGCGCGUAGGCGGCCCGGUAAGUCAAAGGUGAAAUCCCUCGGCUCAACUGAGGAACUGCCUUUGAAACUGUCGGGCUUGAGGCCGGGAGGGGGUAGCGGAAUUCCCAGUGUAGCGGUGAAAUGCGUAGAUAUUGGGAGGAACACCGGUGGCGAAGGCGGCUACCUGGGCCGGUUCUGACGCUGAUGCGCGAAAGCGUGGGUAGCAAACAGG
RNAcentral lists this ribosomal RNA (253 nucleotides) under uncultured bacterium. RNAcentral's name for it is "partial 16S ribosomal RNA". It matches the Rfam family "Bacterial small subunit ribosomal RNA", at positions 524 to 776 of the family's 1533-position model. The record is from RNAcentral.